This is a long non-coding RNA of Lepidothrix coronata (blue-crowned manakin), 271 nucleotides long. RefSeq lists it as uncharacterized. The record is from RefSeq and is a predicted model, not a curated record. NCBI's taxonomy places the organism in Eukaryota, Metazoa, Chordata, Aves, Passeriformes, Pipridae. The transcript is spliced from 3 exons.
CUCGCCCUGCGCUCCUUCCCGGCAUGGCCAGAGCCUCGGCGGGGCUCCGGAGCCGCAACCGCCGCGGAGAUGCUGCUCCCGUCCAUCCCUCUGCUCCUCUGGCUCUUCCUGCUGCUCCCAGGUUCCACAGCCUCCACAAACUCCUCCAUCGAUGCUGUAACAGGUCCACCCCAGCCAACAACACCCAGCCCUGAAGUGAAGAACCACACCUCAGGUAACACCUAGCUGGAGACCCAGGGAACAGCUGGAGCUGUGUCAGGGCAGGCUCAGG